RNAcentral lists this ribosomal RNA (467 nucleotides) under uncultured bacterium. RNAcentral describes it as "partial 16S ribosomal RNA". It matches the Rfam family "Bacterial small subunit ribosomal RNA", at positions 28 to 507 of the family's 1533-position model. The record is from RNAcentral.
GAUGAACGCUGACAGAAUGCUUAACACAUGCAAGUCAACUUGAAUUUGGGUUUUUAACCUAGGUUUGGGUGGCGGACGGGUGAGUAACGCGUAAAGAACUUGCCUCACAGCUAGGGACAACAUUUGGAAACGAAUGCUAAUACCUAAUAUUAUGAUAAUAGGGCAUCCUAUAAUUAUGAAAGCUAUAAGCGCUGUGAGAGAGCUUUGCGUCCCAUUAGCUAGUUGGAGAGGUAACGGCUCACCAAGGCGAUGAUGGGUAGCCGGCCUGAGAGGGUGAUCGGCCACAAGGGGACUGAGACACGGCCCUUACUCCUACGGGAGGCAGCAGUGGGGAAUAUUGGACAAUGGACCGAGAGUCUGAUCCAGCAAUUCUGUGUGCACGAUGAAGUUUUUCGGAAUGUAAAGUGCUUUCAGUUGGGAAGAAACAAAUGACGGUACCAACAGAAGAAGUGACGGCUAAAUACGUG